This 504-nucleotide ribosomal RNA is filed under the name uncultured bacterium. Its description in RNAcentral is "bacterial SSU rRNA". It matches the Rfam family "Bacterial small subunit ribosomal RNA", at positions 1020 to 1524 of the family's 1533-position model. The record is from RNAcentral.
UCGGGGCAUUGGAGACAGGUGGUGCAUGGUUGUCGUCAGCUCGUGUCGUGAGAUGUUGGGUUAAGUCCCGCAACGAGCGCAACCCCUAUUUCCAGUAGCCAGCAAGAAAGAUGGGAACUCUGGAGAGACUGCCCGGGAUAACUGGGAGGAAGGCGGGGAUGACGUCAAAUCAUCAUGCCCCUUAUGAUCAGGGCUACACACGUGCUACAAUGGCGUAAACAAAGGGAAGCGAAGUGGUGACACGAAGCAAAUCCGAAAAACAACGUCUCAGUUCGGAUUGUAGUCUGCAACUCGACUACAUGAAGCUGGAAUCGCUAGUAAUCGCGAAUCAGAAUGUCGCGGUGAAUACGUUCCCGGGUCUUGUACACACCGCCCGUCACACCAUGGGAGUCGGAAAUGCCCGAAGUCAGUGACCCAACCGAGAGGAGGGAGCUGCCGAAGGUGGAGCCGGUAACUGGGGUGAAGUCGUAACAAGGUAGCCGUAUCGGAAGGUGCGGUUGGAUC